UCCACCCAGGGCUCACCUGGGUGGACAACAGGGGCGGAACCGGAUUCUAGUGGGGCGGGGGAUGAGGGAGGAGCGGUUCAGUCAUCCCUCAAGGUUCUCACUUUGAGAUCUGGCAGAGCCUGGAGCUCCGUACUCUGCUGAUGGUGUCUGCUUCCCUCAGACCAAGUUGAUUUUGGGAGUAGAGCACAGCAGCCUGGGCUUGAUUGUCACUUUGGCAGCUACAGCAUUCACUGCAGCUGUGAACGGUAGCAGUGAAAGCAUACAUCAAUGACUUGCUCCUGACGAGAAUGGGAAUGCUUCUAACAUUUCACAUUCAAGAGAAGGAGCCUUGGAGAAUUCGUUGAAUAAUUGCCCGUAUUUUGGGAUUAUUUGGAAGAGUUAAUAUGGUGAUUCGUUUUCCCUGACCACUUGGGGGAACUGACCCACAAAACUGCCUGCCUUAGAACGGUAGAGGGUGGAUUGAGCUUUAAAUACAUUUUCAGUUUGUGGACGUACCAUUGGUUUUAUCCAUUCACCAAUUGGAAAAAGUAUUGAUUGUCAAUUUCAAAUAAGCUGCUAUAUAUGUUUUUGUGUACGUGAUUUUGUGUGUAUGAACCUGUUUCCAAUUUUCCUUGAUAAAACCUAGGAGUACAAUUGCUGUGUGUAAUGGUAAGUCUAAGUUUUGCUAUAUUAGAAAUAGCCAAAGCCCCUUCUAGAGUGAAUGUGUUCUUUUUCUUCUCUACCAGCAAUGAAAGAGAAUGCCACAUCUUUUGUACAAUUUGGUAUUUUCAGGUUGUUGCAUUGUAUCAAUUGUAACAGGUGGGUAGAAGAAUGUUACUGCUGUUUACAUUUGUAUUUUUAUUGAAUAAUUAUGGUAAUCAUCUUUUCAUAUGCUUUUUUGUGAUCUGUGUAUCUUCAUUGGUGAAGUCUUGAAAUCAUUUACUAUUUUAUUGGACUCUUCAUUUUUAUGUGGUUGCAUGUUAUAAGGUGUUUAUUCAUUCAGUAUAUGAAUCCUUUAUCCGACACGGGGUUUACAAGUAUUUUCUCCCCAUUUUUGGCUUUUUUCCCCAUUCCUUUAAGUGUUUUUUUUUUUUUAGUAAACAUUUUAGAGUAAUUUUAAAUUUACAGAAAAGUUGCGAAGACAGUUAAGAGGGUUUUCCUAUACAUCAUGUCCAGUUUCUCCUAUUAUUAACAUCAUGCAAUAAUAUGAUACAUUCUUCAUAAUUCAUAAAUCAAUAUUCACCUGCACAUUCCUGUCAUUGUUUGAGGAUCCCAUCUAGGAUACCAUGCUACUUUAGUCUAAGCUGUGAUAGUUUCUCAGACUAUUCUUGUUUUUGAUGACUUUAACAGUUUUGGGGAGUAUCGAUCAGGCUAUUUGUGGAAUUACCCUCAUUUGGUAUUUGUCUGAGUUUUUUCAUAUAUAGACUUGAGUAAUGGCUUUGGGGUAGGAGACCAGAGAGGCGAAAUGCCAUUCUCAUUACACGAUAUUUUAGCAACAUGACUCAUCGCUGUUGAUGUUGACUGAUGAACUGGCUGAGGUAGUGUUGUCAGGAUUUCCCUCUGCAAGGUUAUUACAUUCCCCCCUUUCUGUAUUGUGCUUUAUAAAAGAAAGUCACUAAGGGCAGCCAUUGGGUAGUAGGGAAGUAUGGUCCACCUUCUUGGGAAGGGGUAGUAUUGACAUGAAUGAUUUGGGAUUCUUCUCAAUGGGAGAUUUGUUUAUUCUCCCCCAUUAUUUGUAUUUAUUUAACCUUCAAUUUGUCUCGGCUGAACUCAUGGUAAUUUAUUAUAUGUUUGGGGUUAUAAUUCAACACCACUUUUAUUUUGCUGCUCAGAUUGUUCCAUCUUUGUCCAUUGGAAGCUCUUUCAGUUGGCUCUGAUGUCCCCUUCACGUAACUGAGCCAUUACAUUUGUUUGUAGCUCUGUCUUACUUUAUGGUAUGACAAGAUGAUGCAGGCUCAUUUUUAUAUUUCCUGUUCCAGUCAUAGAAGAGUCAAUUUUCCAUGGUUUCUGCUUCCUUUUAUGGGAGAAGAGUAUUGGAAUGUGAGAGGUGGGUGCUUGGCAUGCUCAUUGUUCCUGAGGAUUUGUUAUUCCUAGCCACCUCAAUUCUCAGAGUAAAGAUAUAUAUUUUGGUAUAUUAACCUGUGUAUAUACACAUAUCUAUAAUCAGAAUUCUUAAACCCAGUCCCUGUGAGAAAUAGCUUUAGAAGCCAGACAAUACUGCUUCAGUACAGUUUCUUUUAACUUCGGUCCCAGAGACUAACUUCCACAGGUACUUAGGACAGCACCAUAUCCCCAGAUACUCAUUAGAGGUUGUUUCAUAGAUUUGUAACACAGUUAUAUUGUUUUGUCAUAUUCUAUACUCCACCUUGGCAUUCCUCGACCUCCUAAUUUUUUCAAUUUUGCAUACAUUGAGGUUUACUCUUUGUGCUUUAAGGUUUUAUGCUUUUUGACAAAUGCAUAAUAUAUUCCAUUUUUUGACAGCAUGUCAUCAACCAUGACAUGACAAAAUCAAUCAUUACAGUAGCCUAGAGAAUAGUUUCACCUGUCUAAUAAAUUCCUUCUGCUUAUCCUAGUCAUACCUUUUCCCCACCCCUGAUCCCUGGCCACAACAGGUAUUUUUACUGUCGUUAUAGUCUUGUCUUUCCAGAACGUCAAAUAAAUUGCAUCAUAUACUAUGUAGUCUUUUCGGACUGGCUUCUUUUACUUAGAAUUAAGCAUUUAAGAUUUAUUCAUGUUUUUGUGUGCCUAGAUAAGUAAAUAUUUUGGUUGAUGAAUAGUGUUCUGUUGUUGUUGGACCACAGUUUGUUUAUUCAUCUGUCUCUUGAAGAACAUCUUUGUUGUUUCCAGUUUUGGCCAAUUAUUAAAUAAGCUGCCACACCCAUUCAUAUGCAGGUUUUUUUUGUGGGCAUAAAUUUGCAAAUUAGUUCAAUGUAUACCUAGGAGUGUCAAGAAUUUGUUCAGCUUUGUAAAAAAAUCAACUGACAAACCAUCUUUGAAAGUGGCUGUACUACUUUGCAUUCCCAACAGCAACAAAUGAGAGUUCCUUGUUGCCAGGAAUUGGUAUUGUCAGUAUUUGGAUUUUGGACAUUCUAAUAAGUGUGUAUCUUUGUUAUUUAAUUCAUAAUUCUCUAAUAAAGAAUGACAUUGA
This 3127-nucleotide long non-coding RNA is filed under the name Homo sapiens (human). Its description in RNAcentral is "HSALNT0409026". The record is from RNAcentral. Lineage: Eukaryota; Metazoa; Chordata; Mammalia; Primates; Hominidae.